UACGUAGGGGGCAAGCGUUGUCCGGAUUUACUGGGCGUAAAGAGCGCGCAGGCGGUCGUUCAAGUCGCGUGUGAAAGCCCCCGGCUCAACUGGGGAGGGUCACGCGAUACUGAUCGACUCGAAGGCAGGAGAGGGUAGUGGAAUUCCCGGUGUAGAGGUGAAAUUCGUAGAUAUCGGGAGGAACACCGGUGGCGAAGGCGGCGACCUGGGUAGAUACUGACGCUGAGGUGCGAAAGCGUGGGGAGCAAACAGG
RNAcentral lists this ribosomal RNA (253 nucleotides) under uncultured bacterium. Its description in RNAcentral is "partial 16S ribosomal RNA". It matches the Rfam family "Bacterial small subunit ribosomal RNA", at positions 524 to 776 of the family's 1533-position model. The record is from RNAcentral.